This is a long non-coding RNA of Apis dorsata (giant honeybee), 328 nucleotides long. RefSeq lists it as uncharacterized. The transcript is spliced from 2 exons. The record is from RefSeq and is a predicted model, not a curated record. NCBI's taxonomy places the organism in Eukaryota, Metazoa, Arthropoda, Insecta, Hymenoptera, Apidae.
AUCACGAGUAAGUUUCUGAGAAUGCUUCUGUCUAGUUUUUAUGGGAAGAUAUUUCCUUUUUCACCUUAGGCCGGUAAGUGCUCCAAAUGUCCACUUACACACACUACAAAAAGAGUGUUUCAAACCUGCUCUGUGAAAGGGAAUGUUCAACUCUGUCAGUAGAGGGCACACAUCACAAACAAGUUUCUGAGAAUGCUUGUGUCUAGUUGUUAUGGGAAGAUAUUUCCUUUUUCAACAUAGGCCUGAAAGCGCUCCAAAUGUCCACUUCCAGAUACUACAAAAAGAGUGUUUCAAAUCUGCUCUAUGAAUGGGAAUGUUCUACUCUGUG